AGAGCAGACUAAAACUCCAUGUGUGCAUCUACCACAUUCCCUUUCCUCAUUCUUCUGUGGACAGGAGCCUCACCUGUUCCACACCUUGGCUGCUCCCUGUACGGCCGCUAAGGGAUCCCCAAGCCAGUCUUCAGGGAGCUGACAUGAGGUGUAGAGAAGAGGUGUGUGACUAAGCAGUCAGGGUCACGAUGUGGCCACACUCAUCGCUGAGCCACAUUGUCUCAGCUCCAGUGAUCUCGCAUACAAGUUCCCAGAACGUGGGUAGUUGUUCCAGCUUUGACCUGGAAGUGCUACCCCCAUUGAAGCUUCGGGUAAUUGUCACGCCUAUGAGUCAGGGCCGAGACAGGAGCCCUUAAGACUUGAGAUGCGGCUCUCUUGGUUCCUGGAUCCUGGACACUGGAGGUAGACCGAACAGUCCUCCAGAGAACACUGCUGGACUGCACCUUACCUCUCCCGAACCCUGUAACCUAUCCCUUCACUUGUAAGUUACCCCACAAAAUAAACCUCCCUUUUAACUAC
Molecule: non-coding RNA, 519 nt
Organism: Peromyscus maniculatus bairdii (prairie deer mouse)
Lineage: Eukaryota; Metazoa; Chordata; Mammalia; Rodentia; Cricetidae
Source: RefSeq, a predicted model, not a curated record